GGCUUCGCCUGUUUAACAAAAACAUAGUUUAAAGAAAAAGAUUUUAGAUAGAUUCUGCUCAGUGAUUAAAUUUUAAAUAGCUGCAGUGAAUUAACUGUACUAAGGUAGCGUAAUAAAUUGCUUUAUAAUUGAAAGCUUGAAUGAAAGAAAUAAUGUGAAAUAAACUUUUUAAAAUAAAAUAGUAUAAAUUAAUAUUUAAGUGAAAAAUCUUAAAUUAAAUCAAAAGACAAGAAGACCCUUUAGAACUUAACAAAUAAGUCUAGCUUUACUUGAUCUUUUUGCUAAAUUGGGGAGAUUUUUAAAUAAAUAAAUCUUUAAAUAUAAGUAAAAUGAUAUUUAUCAAGUUAAAUUAUCCAAAUAUGAAAUAAAACAAGUUACCUAAGGGAUAACAGCGCAAAAUUUUUGAAAAGUUCUCAUUUACAAAAUAUAUUGCGACCUCGAUGUUGGAUUAAGAAUAAUCUAUAAAGAAAAAUUUAUAGGAAUUGGUCUGUUCGCC
RNAcentral lists this ribosomal RNA (496 nucleotides) under Bemisia tabaci. RNAcentral describes it as "partial 16S ribosomal RNA". The record is from RNAcentral. Lineage: Eukaryota; Metazoa; Arthropoda; Insecta; Hemiptera; Aleyrodidae.